Molecule: ribosomal RNA, 281 nt
Filed under: uncultured bacterium
Lineage: Bacteria
Description: partial 16S ribosomal RNA
Rfam family: Bacterial small subunit ribosomal RNA
Source: RNAcentral
AACGUGCCCAGUAGUGGGGGAUAACCCGGCGAAAGCCGGACUAAUACCGCAUACGACCUACGGGUGAAAGCAGGGGAUCGCAAGACCUUGCGCUAUUGGAGCGGCCGAUGUCAGAUUAGCUUGUUGGCGGGGUAAAAGCCCACCAAGGCGACGAUCUGUAGCUGGUCUGAGAGGACGACCAGCCACACUGGGACUGAGACACGGCCCAGACUCCUACGGGAGGCAGCAGUGGGGAAUUUUGGACAAUGGGCGCAAGCCUGAUCCAGCCAUGCCGCGUGCGG